UACGGGGGGUGCAAACGUUGCUCGGAAUUAUUGGGCGUAAAGGGUGCGUAGGUGGCGAGGUAAGUCGGAUGUGAAAGCUCGGAGCUCAACUCCGAAAUGGCAUUGGAAACUACCUUGCUCGAGGGUUGGAGGGGGGACUGGAAUUCUCGGUGUAGCAGUGAAAUGCGUAGAUAUCGAGAGGAACACCAGUGGCGAAGGCGAGUCCCUGGACAACUCCUGACACUGAGGCACGAAAGCUAGGGGAGCAAACAGG
Molecule: ribosomal RNA, 253 nt
Filed under: uncultured bacterium
Lineage: Bacteria
Description: partial 16S ribosomal RNA
Rfam family: Bacterial small subunit ribosomal RNA
Source: RNAcentral